UACAGAGGGUGCAAGCGUUAAUCGGAAUUACUGGGCGUAAAGCGUGCGUAGACGGUUAUUUAAGUCAGGUGUGAAAGCCCCGGGCUCAACCUGGGAAUUGCAUUUGAGACUGAAUAGCUAGGGUGCGGAAGAGGGAAGCGGAAUUUCCGGUGUAGCGGUGAAAUGCGUAGAUAUCGGAAGGAACACCAGUGGCGAAGGCGACUACCUGGACCAGCACUGACACUGAGGCACGAAAGCGUGGGGAGCAAACAGG
This 253-nucleotide ribosomal RNA is filed under the name uncultured bacterium. RNAcentral describes it as "partial 16S ribosomal RNA". It matches the Rfam family "Bacterial small subunit ribosomal RNA", at positions 524 to 776 of the family's 1533-position model. The record is from RNAcentral.